GAUGAACGCUGGCGGCGUGCCUAAUACAUGCAAGUCGAGCGAACAGACGAGGAGCUUGCUCCUCUGACGUUAGCGGCGGACGGGUGAGUAACACGUGGAUAACCUACCUAUAAGACUGGGAUAACUUCGGGAAACCGGAGCUAAUACCGGAUAAUAUAUUGAACCGCAUGGUUCAAUAGUGAAAGACGGUUUUGCUGUCACUUAUAGAUGGAUCCGCGCCGCAUUAGCUAGUUGGUAAGGUAACGGCUUACCAAGGCAACGAUGCGUAGCCGACCUGAGAGGGUGAUCGGCCACACUGGAACUGAGACACGGUCCAGACUCCUACGGGAGGCAGCAGUAGGGAAUCUUCCGCAAUGGGCGAAAGCUUGACGGAGCAACGCCGCGUGAGUGAUGAAGGUCUUCGGAUCGUAAAACUCUGUUAUUAGGGAAGAACAAAUGUGUAAGUAACCAUGCACGUCUUGACGGUACCUAAUCAGAAAGCCACGGCUAACUACGUG
Molecule: ribosomal RNA, 497 nt
Filed under: uncultured bacterium
Lineage: Bacteria
Description: partial 16S ribosomal RNA
Rfam family: Bacterial small subunit ribosomal RNA
Source: RNAcentral